RNAcentral lists this ribosomal RNA (634 nucleotides) under uncultured bacterium. RNAcentral's name for it is "bacterial SSU rRNA". The stretch from base 1 to 535 matches the Rfam family "Bacterial small subunit ribosomal RNA", at positions 338 to 873 of the family's 1533-position model. The record is from RNAcentral.
CCUACGGGAGGCAGCAGUGAGGAAUAUUGGACAAUGGGCGCAAGCCUGAUCCAGCCAUGCCGCGUGCAGGAUGACGGUCCUAUGGAUUGUAAACUGCUUUUGUACAGGAAGAAACCCUUUCACGUGUGGAAGAUUGACGGUACUGUAAGAAUAAGGAUCGGCUAACUCCGUGCCAGCAGCCGCGGUAAUACGGAGGAUCCAAGCGUUAUCCGGAAUCAUUGGGUUUAAAGGGUCCGUAGGCGGUUUAGUAAGUCAGUGGUGAAAGCCCAUCGCUCAACGGUGGAACGGCCAUUGAUACUGCUAGACUUGAAUUAUUAGGAAGUAACUAGAAUAUGUAGUGUAGCGGUGAAAUGCUUAGAGAUUACAUGGAAUACCAAUUGCGAAGGCAGGUUACUACUAAUGGAUUGACGCUGAUGGACGAAAGCGUGGGUAGCGAACAGGAUUAGAUACCCUGGUAGUCCACGCCGUAAACGAUGGAUACUAGCUGUUGGGCGCAAGUUCAGUGGNGUAGAGAAGUAGAGUAAGUAGUACCACCGUCGGGAGGUAACGGUUCGUCGAAGAAGUAGAAACGUUACGAAGGAAGUUAGUUACGGCGUUGAGACGNGCCGACGGACGACGACGACGGGAGGAGGAG